GAUAAGCUCAAAAGUAGCGUUUUGAGAUAAAGCCCGUCUAUGGCAUAACUAAAUGUAGCUGGAAUACAGGUAGACCGUUCCAUAAGUUAGUUAGUAAGUCCCACAA
This 106-nucleotide non-coding RNA is filed under the name unclassified sequences. RNAcentral describes it as "cow-rumen-2 RNA". It matches the Rfam family "cow-rumen-2 RNA". Rfam says of the family: cow rumen metagenome. Environment (Cow rumen (57)) The record is from Rfam by way of RNAcentral.